RNAcentral lists this ribosomal RNA (495 nucleotides) under uncultured bacterium. Its description in RNAcentral is "partial 16S ribosomal RNA". It matches the Rfam family "Bacterial small subunit ribosomal RNA", at positions 28 to 507 of the family's 1533-position model. The record is from RNAcentral.
GAUGAACGCUGGCGGCGUGCCUAAUACAUGCCAGUAGAACGCUGAAGGCGGAGCUUGCUCUUCUGGAUGAGUUGCGAACGGGUGAGUAACGCGUAGGUAACCUGCCUGGUAGCGGGGGAUAACUAUUGGAAACGAUAGCUAAUACCGCAUGACAACAGUUAUUGCAUGAUAACUGUUUAAAAGGGGCAACUGCUCCACUACCAGAUGGACCUGCGUUGUCUUAGCUAGUUGGUGAGGUAACGGCUAACCAAGGCGAAGAUACAUAGCCGACCUGAGAGGGGGGUCGGCCACACUGGGAAUUGGACACGGCCCAGACUCCUACGGGAGGCAGCAGUAGGGAAUCGGCGGCAAUGGACGGAAGUCUGACCGAUCAACGCCGCGUGAGUGAAGAAGGUUUUCGGAUCGUAAAGCGCUGUUGUAUGAGAAGAACGAGUGUGAGAGUGGAAAGUUCACACUGUGACGGUAUCUUACCAGAAAGGGACGGCUAACUACGUG